GAUGAACGCUGGCGGCGUGCCUAAUACAUGCCAGUCGAGCGAACGGACGAGAAGCUUGCUUCUCUGAUGUUAGCGGCGGACGGGUGAGUAACACGUGGAUAACCUACCUAUAAGACUGGGAUAACUUCGGGAAACCGUAGCUAAUACCGGAUAAUAUUUUGAACCGCAUGGUUCAAAAGUGAAAGACGGUCUUGCUGUCACUUAUAGAUGGAUCCGCGCUGCAUUAGCUAGUUGGUAAGGUAACGGCUUACCAAGGCAACGAUGCAUAGCCGACCUGAGAGGGUGAUUGGGCAACAUGGAAACGAGACACGGUCCCGACUCCUAAGGGAGGGCGCAGUAGGGAAUCUUCCGGAAUGGGCGAAAGCCUGACGGAGGAAAGGCGGGUGAGUGAUGAAGGUUCUCGGAUCGUAAAAACCUGUUAUUAGGGAAGAAAAUAUGUGUAAGGAACUGUGCACAUCUUGACGGUACCUAAUCAGAAAGCCACGGCUAACUACGUG
This 497-nucleotide ribosomal RNA is filed under the name uncultured bacterium. Its description in RNAcentral is "partial 16S ribosomal RNA". It matches the Rfam family "Bacterial small subunit ribosomal RNA", at positions 28 to 507 of the family's 1533-position model. The record is from RNAcentral.